AUGAAGCAUAGAUUAUCAUGCAAAGCUGAUGAUAUUGAUAGUAUUGAAGAAGUUAUAGAUAUACAAAGAGAUCUAGAAAGAUAUCAGAAAGAUACCCUAAGAAAAAUAAAGCCACAACAAGUAUAUCACAUGGGUAUGUUUGAAAGUAAGAGUGGUCUAUACAGAAUAUCUCGAGAAGUAGAAUUAAGCGUGUUAACACAUCCAGUAGAUUUAAGAAUUGUAAGCAAAAAUUAUGAAAAUGAAUUAAAAUAUUGUGGUUACAAAUAUAUUCAUCAAGAAAAAAUGAGUUUUGGUUUCCAAACUAAAGGUUAUGAAGAUUUUAAAGGAACAAAUUUGCUAGUAAGUAUAGAAUUUAUAGGAAGGCUCACUAAUAGAAGUAGCUCCAGAUAUAGAGUGAAUGUGAAUGACGUAAUUGAUAGUAUGCAAUCAAAAGGUAUUAAAUUUAUGAAUCCUCUUAAAAUUGGCUUUGAAGAAAGAGCAGGAGAAGAAUGGAAGAUAGGAGAAUUAAUAGAGAAAAAAGAAUUAAAGCAACUUGAAAACUACAUAAGCUAUCAAAAUUGUGAAGAAAGUAGCAGUAUUCGAUUUAUGAACUAUAAAGCUGCAUCAAUAGAAGACUCUGAAUCAUUUAUGUCAGAAUCGGAAAUUAAUGAUGAUAAGAAUAAAGGUAUAUCUGAAUGUAUGGAAAAGGCUAAUUUAGAUGAUGAAAUAAUUCAUUGGGAAAAGAAGCUAAAGCAUAUUGAAUGGGAAUAUAGUCAUUCUAUGACAAAGGAUUGGCCGAAAAUUAGAGAAAGAGAGCUAUUUAUCAUUCGAGAAAUUGCAAGGUUAAAGAAACUAAAAAGCGAUAAAAUGUCUGUCACUAGUAGUUCAAGGAUGGAAGAUAAAAUUUUAGCAUCCGCAGAAAGUAAUAAUAAAGAUAAGAAUAUUAUUCAAAAAGAAGAAAUUGUUAGUGAAGAAGAGCAAUGGGAUAUCAAUAAUAAGUUAUUAUUAGAAAGUUAUGAGGAAGAGGAGGAAUUAAUAAAAGAAAUGUGGUUAGAAGAUGAAAGAUAUGAUGAUUCAGAACAAAAUAGUGAUUUCUAUAACUCACUAGAUGAUGUGGGAGAAUCUAUAAAAGUUCUUUGGGAACAAUGGGUAGAAUCAUACCCUAGUCAAUAUGAAGAAUUAAAAAGGGCAGGAAGUAACCCUAAUAACUUUGCGAAUGUUAUCUCAAAUAUGAUCAUAGCAGAAGAUCCUGAAUUAGGACAUACCUCAUUGCAAAAUGAAAGGUUAAGAGAAAUAGAAAAAUUAACAUUAACUAGCUGGAAAGGUAUUAAAGAGUUUUCCCAGCAUUAUUUGUAUAAUGCUACUACUGCUAAACAAGGUUUUAAUGUAGGCGUAGUAGAAAGAUAUUUUAAUAAGUUGCCUGAUCCCCUAGGGUCAAUAAUAUUUGAAGAAUAUAAAAAGGAAACGGCGGGAAACGUGGUAAACAUAUCUCAAGCUAUAACAUUUGUUUUCAAACAAUUAAGAAAGGUGUGUACUAGUAUUCAAGCCCAAAGAUCUAUGAAGAAAUCAGAUUAUAAUUUUUGCAAUAACAUAGUCCAAAUACCACUUACAUAUGGAGAAGAAAGGCAUAGGAAUCAUCUAAGUAGAACUUGCCCUAAUAAAGACCAGAAAAGAUACUCUAGCAAAUAUGAAGAACAAGAGAGGGUGUUAAUUAUAGAUAGCGUUAAUGAAAAUAUAUUAGUAUGUGAUGAUGAAAUAAAAGACGAUGAGUCAAUAUAUUCAAUUAUAGAAACAGAUGAAGUAGAAAAUGAGGCUCCAGAAUAUGAAUCAAGUGAAGAUGAAAUAGACCUAAUAGAUGAUUUAGCCGGUUUAAAAAUUGAAAUGAUGAACCAAGUAGAUUGUGAACAUGAUUGCAUUAGAGGAAAAGGUGAUUAUAACAUAAAAUGUGCUUUCUGUAUAUAUUAUCCAAGCCAAGAUAAUAGGUUUACAUGUAGCUUGUGUUUAAAACAAGCAUGUGCCUCAUGUCUAAGAGCCAAUAAUCAGAAGUGGAGACAAGAGAUAGAAUUGGAACCAGAAGAGCGAAUAUUAUCCAGUAGGGUUAGAAAUUUAGAAAAUAGAAUAAAUAAGCUAGAAGCAGAGCUAGAAAAACUUAAAGAUGAGUUAGAAAAUAGUAAAGAGGAAAAUGAUAAUGUUCCAAAAAACACAGAAAUGAAAGAGCAAAUGAUAACAGUAAGGGAUAAAAAAGGAGACAAAUUAAUACAAUUGAAAGAUGCAAUUACUAGUUUUGGAAACAAAUAUAUUGUUCGAUUACCAUUCAAAGAAGUGUUAGGAAUAAGGAUCCCAGUUAAGAUUGUUCUGAAGCCAAAUAUUUCAUAUAAAGUACUGGCACUAUUAGAUACUGGUUGCACUAAAAAUAUCAUCCAUGAUAAAUAUUUUAUGAGAUGUCCCGAAAUAGUUGAAACUAUAGAUGAUAAUAAAGCUGAAGUAUCUACCGAUAUGUCAGGAAUAAAGAAGAUCCAUAACCAGCUAGCAUAUAAUAUUGAAGCUUACAUAAAUGGCACAAAAUAUAUAAUAGAUGAAAUUACAAUAAGAGAUUUGUCAGUAAUAAAUGAUGACAUGAUAAUAGGGUUAAGAUUUUUACAACAAUCUUUACAAACCACAAUCAUACAUGAAGAGGGGGUAACAUUUAUUCCUUAUCAAGAUAAUGUUCCAUACAUACCUGAAGUGCGAAAA
RNAcentral lists this ribosomal RNA (2712 nucleotides) under Triticum aestivum (bread wheat). RNAcentral describes it as "partial small subunit ribosomal RNA". The record is from RNAcentral. Lineage: Eukaryota; Viridiplantae; Streptophyta; Magnoliopsida; Poales; Poaceae.